This 251-nucleotide ribosomal RNA is filed under the name Escherichia coli. Its description in RNAcentral is "partial 16S ribosomal RNA". It matches the Rfam family "Bacterial small subunit ribosomal RNA", at positions 68 to 323 of the family's 1533-position model. The record is from RNAcentral. Lineage: Bacteria; Pseudomonadati; Pseudomonadota; Gammaproteobacteria; Enterobacterales; Enterobacteriaceae.
GAUGAAGGGAGCUUGCUCCUGGAUUCAGCGGCGGACGGGUGAGUAAUGCCUAGGAAUCUGCCUGUAGUGGGGGAUAACGUCCGGAAACAGGCGCUAAUACCGCAUACGUCCUGAGGGAGAAAGUGGGGGAUCUUCGGACCUCACGCUAUCAGAUGAGCCUAGGUCGGAUUAGCUAGUUGGUGGGGUAAAGGCCUACCAAGGCGACGAUCCGUAACUGGUCUGAGAGGAUGAUCAGUCACACUGGAACUGAG